Molecule: non-coding RNA, 30 nt
Filed under: Mus musculus (house mouse)
Lineage: Eukaryota; Metazoa; Chordata; Mammalia; Rodentia; Muridae
Source: RNAcentral
UGGAAAACAGCCGAGCCACACAAGAGCUUA